GGAGAAUACAUUCUGGUGGAGUGCCCAUUUGGUGCGUCUACAAUUCAACCAUUAGGCUCAGGGAACAUCAUAGAAAAGAGUACAAAGACUGUAAAAGCCACGCCCUGACACCUGCUGUUACAUGAUGUCUUAAGACAUAACAGGGAAGCUGUACCAAGGAAACCUCAAAAGUAUGCUUACCUAAACAGGACUUGCAUCAUAGUAACAUCAGUUGACAUGUCACUGUGGAUGGAGAAAAUUUCAUAAGGUCUCGCUCCUGGAUGAAGAGCUACCAGCAAUCAAUGGCUGAAAAAAGAGGGAGGAGCCGUUUUCUCCAGGGACCAGUUCCCUGAUAGGAAAUCAAAGCCUAGAUGGUCUUCUCUAAACACCAUAUGUCCAGGGUGAGGUGAGGACUCCCAUUGCCAACAUCAGGAAUAGUGUCAAUAUUCUCAUUAUCACACUAAGUCUUAUCAAGAGACAUACCACAGAAACAAGAGUCUGGGAUCGAGUAAUGGCUCCCAGGGGACAGACCCACAACUGUGGAUCACUCUCAGCUGGCUGAUCCCAGGAGGCUGAAUUAUAAUUUCUUCAACAUUUCAACAAGGAUAAACUUCUUGAGGAAGAGUCUAGAGUGGUCGGUAGGAUGCUCCUGGGAAGAUAAGCCAUUCCAGUUGAGAGAGUAUGACAGCACAAUGUGGACUCCCCAUCCCUACACACACACCUCUUUCUGGCUAUAGAACCUCGUUAUAAAAUGGGCUAUUAGGCUAACAGCCUAAUUCACCAGGGCUGGGCUCCCCGGGACCCUGUGUACCUCAGAGAACUGGCACCAGCCCCAAGAGAGGGCACAGCUGUGAAAGCUAAUGUUACAGGCUGGCUGUCCUCCAAGGAUAAGGCAGAUCUUCAGUCAACAUUAAGCUUCUGCCUUGGGCUCAAGUCUCCAGUAGGUCAAAUUGUAAGUCCAGUCCAAAGUAAUAACCUGAGACCCAGGGGUCCAUCCUCACCUCCACUGCCUAUCUCCACAAAGGGCACCUGCGCCCGAGCAGCAUGUCUGCAUCCUCCUCUGCAUAGUCCGAACAAUCCAGCCUUGUCCACUGACUUAAGCAGCAACUCCACCUAGCCUUCCUAGGGAGCCUUGUCCUUGCUGUCUUUCAAGGUGGAUGUAUAGACAAGGCCGUUAAUGAUGUCAUUUGUGAUCUGAAGCACUUUUUCUUGGGGGCUUCUCCUCCAUUAAAAAAAAAACUCUCUGAAAUACAUUUUACAACUUAGUUGACCUAAAGACAGGAUCCACCGUGCAGUCACAUUACAUAUUUAUCCUUAUGGCUUUCAUCUUUUCUUCUAAUGAGAAUACGUUAACAUCAAGACAGUUUUUUGUUUUUUGUUUUUUUUUUUUUUAAUGAAGUGCCAUGAAGCUAAGGGUAAGCUGUCUCCAAGACAGAGCAAGGUAGCCAUGCCUCAUGGUGGCAUUCCAGGGAGAAAAUGUCCUGGGAGAGGACAUGCCCAAGCUCACCCUGAGGAGCUUCAGGGAUGUUGAGUUUGUGCAACAGCUGGAAAAGAGUUUUGUCACCUGGUCUGCAGCCCAAACAAAGUGAGGAGAUCACUGGACAUCUCCAUUCUGGAAACAAAUCUGCCCUCAAAGCUACAUGAGCCUCAACAGACUCCCAAUCAAGAAGUAGGUACCCCCAGGGUGUGAUGGUCAGCUUC
Mastomys coucha (southern multimammate mouse) is the source of this 1680-nucleotide long non-coding RNA. RefSeq lists it as uncharacterized. The transcript is spliced from 4 exons. Lineage: Eukaryota; Metazoa; Chordata; Mammalia; Rodentia; Muridae. The record is from RefSeq and is a predicted model, not a curated record.